GGCCCAAACUCCUACGGGAGGCUGCAGUAGGGAAUCUUCCACAAUGGGCGAAAGCCUGAUGGAGCAACGCCGCGUGUGUGAUGAAGGCUUUCGGGUCGUAAAGCACUGUUGUAUGGAAGAAAAGUUAAGGUAGGGAAUGACCUUAGCCUGACGGUACCAUACCAGAAAGGGACGGCUAAAUACGUGCCAGCAGCCGCGGUAAUACGUAUGUCCCGAGCGUUAUCCGGAUUUAUUGGGCGUAAAGCGAGCGCAGACGGUUGGUUAAGUCUGAUGUGAAAGCCCGGAGCUCAACUCCGGAAAGGCAUUGGAAACUGGUUAACUUGAGUGCAGUAGAGGUAAGUGGAACUCCAUGUGUAGCGGUGGAAUGCGUAGAUAUAUGGAAGAACACCAGCGGCGAAGGCGGCUUACUGGACUGUAACUGACGUUGAGGCUCGAAAGUGUGGGUAGCAAACAGGAUUAGAUACCCUGGUAGUCCACACCGUAAACGAUGAACACUAGGUGUUAGGAGGUUUCCGCCUCUUAGUGCCGAAGCUAACGCAUUAAGUGUUCCGCCUGGGGAGUACGACCGCAAGGUUGAAACUCAAAGGAAUUGACGGGGACCCGCACAAGCGGUGGAGCAUGUGGUUUAAUUCGAAGCAACGCGAAGAACCUUACCAGGUCUUGACAUCCUUUGAAGCUUUUAGAAAUAGAAGUGUUCUCUUCGGAGACAAAGUGACAGGUGGUGCAUGGUCGUCGUCAGCUCGUGUCGUGAGAUGUUGGGUUAAGUCCCGCAACGAGCGCAACCCUUAUUGUUAGUUGCCAGCAUUCAGAUGGGCACUCUAGCGAGACUGCCGGUGACAAACCGGAGGAAGGCGGGGACGACGUCAGAUCAUCAUGCCCCUUAUGACCUGGGCUACACACGUGCUACAAUGGCGUAUACAACGAGUUGCCAACCUGCGAAGGUGAGCUAAUCUCUUAAAGUACGUCUCAGUUCGGACUGCAGUCUGCAACUCGACUGCACGAAGUCGGAAUCGCUAGUAAUCGCGGAUCAGCACGCCGCGGUGAAUACGUUCCCGGGUCUUGUACACACCGCCCGACACACCAUGGAAGUUUGUAAUGCCCAAAGCCGGUGGCCUAACCGUAAGGAGGGAACCGUCUAAGGCAG
Molecule: ribosomal RNA, 1144 nt
Filed under: Leuconostoc carnosum
Lineage: Bacteria; Bacillati; Bacillota; Bacilli; Lactobacillales; Lactobacillaceae
Description: bacterial SSU rRNA
Rfam family: Bacterial small subunit ribosomal RNA
Source: RNAcentral